UAUUGGGCCUAAAGCAUCCGUAUCCGGCUCUGUAAGUUUUCGGUUAAAUCUGUACGCUUAACGUACAGGCUGCCGGGAAUACUGCAAAGCUAGGGAGUGGGAGAGGUAGACGGUACUCGGUAGGAAGUGGUAAAAUGCUUUGAUCUAUCGAUGACCACCUGUGGCGAAGGCGGUCUACCAGAACACGUCCGACGGUGAGGGAUGAAAGCUGGGGGAGCAAACCGGAUUAGAUACCCGGGUAGUCCCAGCUGUAAACUAUGCAAACUCAGUGAUGCAUUGGCUUGUGGCCAAUGCAGUGCUGCAGGGAAGCCGUUAAGUUUGCCGCCUGGGAAGUACGUACGCAAGUAUGAAACUUAAAGGAAUUGGCGGGGGA
This 373-nucleotide ribosomal RNA is filed under the name uncultured crenarchaeote. RNAcentral describes it as "bacterial SSU rRNA". It matches the Rfam family "Archaeal small subunit ribosomal RNA", at positions 502 to 875 of the family's 1478-position model. The record is from RNAcentral. Lineage: Archaea; Thermoproteati; Thermoproteota.